GGCCCAGUAGUUCAAUUGGAUAGAAUAUCAGAUUUCGGCUCUGAGGGUUGGGGGUUCGAAUCCUCCCUGGGUCACUA
RNAcentral lists this transfer RNA (77 nucleotides) under Flavobacteriaceae bacterium. RNAcentral's name for it is "tRNA-Arg". It matches the Rfam family "tRNA". Rfam says of the family: Transfer RNA (tRNA) molecules are approximately 80 nucleotides in length. Their secondary structure includes four short double-helical elements and three loops (D, anti-codon, and T loops). Further hydrogen bonds mediate the characteristic L-shaped molecular structure. tRNAs have two regions of fundamental functional importance: the anti-codon, which is responsible for specific mRNA codon recognition, and the 3' end, to which the tRNAs corresponding amino acid is attached (by aminoacyl-tRNA synthetases). tRNAs cope with the degeneracy of the genetic code in two manners: having more than one tRNA (with a specific anti-codon) for a particular amino acid; and 'wobble' base-pairing, i.e. permitting non-standard base-pairing at the 3rd anti-codon position. Lineage: Bacteria; Pseudomonadati; Bacteroidota; Flavobacteriia; Flavobacteriales; Flavobacteriaceae. The record is from RNAcentral.